This 299-nucleotide ribosomal RNA is filed under the name uncultured bacterium. RNAcentral's name for it is "partial 16S ribosomal RNA". It matches the Rfam family "Bacterial small subunit ribosomal RNA", at positions 190 to 507 of the family's 1533-position model. The record is from RNAcentral.
CUGAAUAAUAUAUAAAGUUUAAAACGUUAAAAGACGGGUCUGCGGAAGAUUAGGUAGUUGGUGGUUUAAAAGACUACCAAGCCGAUGAUCUUUAGCUGGUUUGAAAGAAUGAUCAGCCACAUUGGGACUGAGACACGGCCCAAACUUUUUUAAAGGCAGCAGUGAGGAAUUUUGGACAAUGGGCGGAAGCCUGAUCCAGCAAUACCAAGUGAGUGAAGAAGGCUAAUUGGGUUGUAAAUCUCUUUCGUUAAGGAGGAAAAAGACAGUACUUAAGGAAGAAGUCCCGGCUAAUAUCCGUG